AUCUGAUGGUGAGGACAGUUGUCACAAAGCUUCUUGAAUCUCUCCAAUAGUCAUAUAAGCUCUCUCCAUCAAGCUGCCUAAUCCCAAUGAUGUCUUUUCUGAUAGUU
This 107-nucleotide small nucleolar RNA is filed under the name Vigna radiata var. radiata (mung bean). RNAcentral describes it as "Plant small nucleolar RNA R71". It matches the Rfam family "Plant small nucleolar RNA R71". Rfam says of the family: R71 is a member of the C/D box family of snoRNAs containing the C (UGAUGA) and D (CUGA) box motifs. Multiple nearly identical copies of this snoRNA have been identified in Arabidopsis, and it is thought to function as a 2'-O-ribose methylation guide for 18S ribosomal RNA. Lineage: Eukaryota; Viridiplantae; Streptophyta; Magnoliopsida; Fabales; Fabaceae. The record is from Rfam by way of RNAcentral.